GGUUAUGAGGCUGCCAGGAUUUCCGAUAACAUAGGUGUGUCUUCCGAACGAUACGUUAGCUGCAGGAGUUCAGCUUAGGCUUGAUGGCGAUGACUUACACUCUGAAUAAUUGUGGCCAGUGGGAACUACGUUUAUAAGAUCGCUACGGUUGCACGUUAUCUGAUUCGUAGAGCACUGCAGGACAUUUAGUAAUUAGAGUCAGAAGGGGGUAUUUGUAUUAUGGUUUAGCAAGUGGAUUAUUCUGGAUCGAUCCCAAGAAGUUACACUGUGACAGCGCUUUCGAGAAACGUUUUGUCUGAUCAAGUAAAUCAGUUCGUAGGUUGUAGGCGAUUCGUUCCAGUUCGAACUGCCGGCCCUAUUCGAUUCCACCUGGCGACUUUAUGCAUGUUAUUUUACCGACACUGAGCGCAGUUUUUGGGAAAACGAAAAUUUUUGGGUUCCGGGGAACCAACGGUUGAAAAGCUUAAACGGCAAGGAGUUUCGUAAGGGCCCCCCCAGGAGUGGAGCCGGCGGAGUUUAUCUCACUCAAAGUCGGGAAAUCUCACCCGGCCCGGUUUUUAGUUAGGACAAACAGAAUUAUGAGCUAUUGGAGCAUGAAGUGGGGGGGGGUGCAGGCCCAUUCUUAGCUUGCGAAAGGAUUUCGUUAGUGAAUUUCGAUAGCGAUCAAGACUAUAACCUAGUAUAUAGUAGUCCGAUCAUUAGUUGGUGCGUCCUUACCUGAGGGUCCAGGAGCGGUGAGAUUCACGAGAUUGAGCCAUACCAGGUCUGUGAUGCCCAUAGAUCUUGGUCCCUGCACGCAAGCGACACCGAAGGCAUAAUUGCCCGUUCAGCUAUGAAAGGAAAUCUAAUACCAUCGAAAGCUGAUAGGGCAGGGAUCGGGGCGAGAAACAUUGUCCGGGAACCAGGAAUUCACCGCAAGCUUAAGCAGAGUCCCCGCGCAAAGGGGUCCCUGACCCAAUACACACCGUCCGACAAAACCGCUCAUUCCAUGCGGUAGGAGCUCCUCGGCUCGGCCCCUCCGGAAUCGGCCCCGUCCCCCACGGAGCACCGAGAAGACGAUCAAACAUGACUAUCUAGAGGAAGUAAAAGUGGUAACAAGGUUUCCGGAAAGGCGAUUAGACGCACAUCUGGCGGCCUUUGAGUACGAGAUCCGAGCUCGGUACCCAGCUAUGACGUCAUCGCUUGAGUACGCUCGCGCAUCACAUACGACUGCCGG
Molecule: ribosomal RNA, 1216 nt
Filed under: uncultured eukaryote
Lineage: Eukaryota
Description: partial 18S ribosomal RNA
Rfam family: Eukaryotic small subunit ribosomal RNA
Source: RNAcentral